RNAcentral lists this small RNA (27 nucleotides) under Bombyx mori (domestic silkworm). RNAcentral's name for it is "ovarian small RNA-18833". Lineage: Eukaryota; Metazoa; Arthropoda; Insecta; Lepidoptera; Bombycidae. The record is from RNAcentral.
UAACGCCGCGGACUGUCGUAAUAUAAU